UUUUGGACAAUGGGCGAAAGCCUGAUCCAGCAAUGCCGCGUGCAGGAUGAAGGCCCUCGGGUUGUAAACUGCUUUUGUACGGAACGAAACGGUUCUCCUUAAUACGGGGGGCUAACGACGGUACCGUAAGAAUAAGCACCGGCUAACUACGUGCCAGCAGCCGCGGUAAUACGUAGGGUGCGAGCGUUGUUCGGAGUUACUGGGCGUAAAGCGCACGUAGGCGGCUUUGUAAGUUAGAGGUGAAAGCCUGGAGCUCAACUCCAGAAUUGCCUUUGAUACUGCAUCGCUUGAAUCCAGGAGAGGUGAGUGGAAUUCCGAGUGUAGAGGUGAAAUUCGUAGAUAUUCGGAAGAACACCAGUGGCGAAGGCGGCUCACUGGACUGGUAUUGACGCUGAGGUGCGAAA
This 404-nucleotide ribosomal RNA is filed under the name uncultured bacterium. RNAcentral's name for it is "bacterial SSU rRNA". It matches the Rfam family "Bacterial small subunit ribosomal RNA", at positions 362 to 758 of the family's 1533-position model. The record is from RNAcentral.